RNAcentral lists this non-coding RNA (81 nucleotides) under Methylophaga sp. RNAcentral describes it as "c-di-GMP sequence". It matches the Rfam family "c-di-GMP-I riboswitch aptamer". Rfam says of the family: GEMM was predicted in a large-scale screen for bacterial structured RNA regulatory elements. Lineage: Bacteria; Pseudomonadati; Pseudomonadota; Gammaproteobacteria; Thiotrichales; Piscirickettsiaceae. The record is from RNAcentral.
CUAACUAACUGCCAAACUUGUGUGUAAACCAAGGACGGAAAGUUACAGGUCUUAAUUACUUGAGAUGGCUGGGCUGCAAAU